CUCUUUCCCAUCGUCAACUUCUCACUCCCUCUCACUCUCCAUCGAUUUUUCUCUCUGUCACUCUCCCAAUCUCAUAAUUUUUCUCUCAAUUCCUAUUCCAAUCGCAUACCAUAGACGCUUUUUCUCAAAUUUUCCCAAGAAAACUCACCCAAAAUCUCUCAAAUCUCACAACCCAAGCUAAUCAAAUUGGCAAGCAAGAGGAGAAAUCACCCAUUGUCACCGACCAAGAGGAGAAAAGAGGAGCGAACAUUGGCCAAGGGAGGAC
Molecule: unclassified non-coding RNA, 265 nt
Filed under: Hevea brasiliensis (rubber tree)
Lineage: Eukaryota; Viridiplantae; Streptophyta; Magnoliopsida; Malpighiales; Euphorbiaceae
Source: RNAcentral